This 510-nucleotide ribosomal RNA is filed under the name uncultured bacterium. RNAcentral's name for it is "partial 16S ribosomal RNA". It matches the Rfam family "Bacterial small subunit ribosomal RNA", at positions 28 to 507 of the family's 1533-position model. The record is from RNAcentral.
GACGAACGCUGGCGGCGUGCUUAACACAUGCAAGUCGAACGAAGAGCGACGGAAGCUUGCUUCUAUCAAUCUUAGUGGCGAACGGGUGAGUAACGCGUAAUCAACCUGCCCUUCAGAGGGGGACAACAGUUGGAAACGACUGCUAAUACCGCAUACGAUCUAACCUCGGCAUCGAGGAUAGAUGAAAGGUGGCCUCUAUAUGUAAGCUAUCACUGAAGGAGGGGAUUGCGUCUGAUUAGCUAGUUGGAGGGGUAACGGCCCACCAAGGCGAUGAUCAGUAGCCGGUCUGAGAGGAUGAACGGCCACAUUGGGACUGAGACACGGCCCAGACUCCUACGGGAGGCAGCAGUGGGGAAUCUUCCGCAAUGGACGAAAGUCUGACGGAGCAACGCCGCGUGAGUGAUGACGGCCUUCGGGUUGUAAAGCUCUGUUAAUCGGGACGAAAGGCCUUCUUGCGAAUAGUGAGAAGGAUUGACGGUACCGGAAUAGAAAGCCACGGCUAACUACGUG